This 506-nucleotide ribosomal RNA is filed under the name uncultured bacterium. Its description in RNAcentral is "partial 16S ribosomal RNA". It matches the Rfam family "Bacterial small subunit ribosomal RNA", at positions 30 to 523 of the family's 1533-position model. The record is from RNAcentral.
AUUGAACGCUGGCGGCAGGCCUAACACAUGCAAGUCGAACGGUAACAGGAAGCAGCUUGCUGCUUCGCUGACGAGUGGCGGACGGGUGAGUAAUGUCUGGGAAACUGCCUGAUGGAGGGGGAUAACUACUGGAAACGGUAGCUAAUACCGCAUAACGUCGCAAGACCAAAGAGGGGGACCUUCGGGCCUCUUGCCAUCGGAUGUGCCCAGACGGGAUUAGCUAGUAGGUGGGGUAACGGCUCACCUAGGCGACGAUCCCUAGCUGGUCUGAGAGGAUGACCAGCCACACUGGAACUGAGACACGGUCCGGACUCCUACGGGAGGCAGCAGUGGGGAAUAUUGUACAAUGGGCGCAAGCCUGAUGCAGCCAUGCCGCGUGUAUGAAGAAGGCCUUCGGGUUGUAAAGUACUUUCAGCGGGGAGGAAGGCGAUAAGGUUAAUAACCUUGUCGAUUGACGUUACCCGCAGAAGAAGCACCGGCUAACUCCGUGCCAGCCGCCGCGGUAA